GUCCACGCCCUAAACGAUGAUUACUGGACAUUUGCGAUAUACAGUGAGUGUCUGAGCGAAAGCAUUAAGUAAUCCACCUGGGAAGUACGUCCGCAAGGAUGAAACUCAAAGGAAUUGACGGGGGUCCGCACAAGCGGUGGAGUAUGUGGUUUAAUUCGAUGAUACGCGAGGAACCUUACCUGGGCUAGAAUGCGCGUGACCGGUUCUGAAAGGACUCUUCUAGCAAUAGACACAAAGCAAGGUGCUGCAUGGCUGUCGU
RNAcentral lists this ribosomal RNA (259 nucleotides) under uncultured bacterium. RNAcentral describes it as "partial 16S ribosomal RNA". It matches the Rfam family "Bacterial small subunit ribosomal RNA", at positions 793 to 1055 of the family's 1533-position model. The record is from RNAcentral.